AACGAACGCUGGCGGCAGGCUUAACACAUGCAAGUCGAGCGAGACCUUCGGGUCUAGCGGCGGACGGGUGAGUAACGCGUGGGAACGUGCCCUUCUCUACGGAAUAGCCCCGGGAAACUGGGAGUAAUACCGUAUACGCCCUUUGGGGGAAAGAUUUAUUGGAGAAGGAUCGGCCCGCGUUGGAUUAGGUAGUUGGUGGGGUAAUGGCCCACCAAGCCGACGAUCCAUAGCUGGUUUGAGAGGAUGAUCAGCCACACUGGGACUGAGACACGGCCCAGACUCCUACGGGAGGCAGCAGUGGGGAAUCUUAGACAAUGGGGGCAACCCUGAUCUAGCCAUGCCGCGUGAGUGAUGAAGGCCUUAGGGUUGUAAAGCUCUUUCAGCUGGGAAGAUAAUGACGGUACCAGCAGAAGAAGCCCCGGCUAACUCCGUG
This 433-nucleotide ribosomal RNA is filed under the name uncultured bacterium. RNAcentral's name for it is "partial 16S ribosomal RNA". It matches the Rfam family "Bacterial small subunit ribosomal RNA", at positions 29 to 507 of the family's 1533-position model. The record is from RNAcentral.